Molecule: long non-coding RNA, 401 nt
Filed under: Serinus canaria (Common canary)
Lineage: Eukaryota; Metazoa; Chordata; Aves; Passeriformes; Fringillidae
Description: lncRNA (ENSSCAG00000002750.1)
Source: RNAcentral
UCUGCGGUUUCCUUUCUUCACCAAAAAGGGGUGAUACUUGGGUGUCGUUUUAUAUCAACCAUGGCUAAUCUAUUUCUAAACACCAAAAAGGUGGUGAGAGGGUGUCUGUCCUUGGUCCUUGUGUUGUGUCAGUAGCAGCAGCACUCGUCCAGCUGUACAGCUGCACAGAGGACUGGAUCUGGCUGACUGCUGAGGAUGCAUCUCCAUGUGCUGACACAAAGCGUGGAGGACAGACAGGAUUGCCAUCCUUGGGCUUCUCCACUGCAACUCAGAGAGUCCUGGGGCCCCUGUGCCUUUCCUGCUUUGGGGACACUGGCAGAAUAAAGGUGGAACCGCCAGCAAGCACAUUCCUGGAGCUCCACAGAGGAUACUGCCCUGCUCAUUGUUGCCACUCUUGCUGA